CGAUCACAUGACUGUGACUCGGCGCUUUGGAACAUUUAUUUAACGGAUGUUUAAGUGAAGAAGACGCUUUGAGUUGUUUUUUUAAAUCAAACUCUGAACAGAGUUCACAGCAGAUGUGGCGAUAAGUCACGGAGGAGAUCACGGGAUUCACAGGGAGACAAAUAGACUGUCGAGAAUGCGUUUAAAACUUCAAAUUACACUUUGAGGGGAUUUGAAGAUCCUUUACCAGUUUGGAGAUUGAACCCCUGCUGCAGAGACGACUCCGUUUCCACUAAUUUCAACCUGCAGGGCUGAAAAAUGAAGCCAACGCUGAACCGCCUCUAAUGGCCGCUUGAGGGUGGCUCCAGCGGUGGAUGCUGAUACAAGCCGCUGCAGCUUCUAGCUUCAACUCAGCUAACUGAAGAUGGAACUGCCAGGAAAUGAUGAAGAGCUUAGAAAAGGCGACCCCCGAAAAAAGAAGAAGAUCUGACGAACCACGAGGCUCGCUGUGAGGUUAACUGCACCUACAGACCAUCCACCGUACCUGUGAGACGCACCUGCACAGCCUGCUCUUCUGUCUCCAGCAAGCUAACAUGGCGGCCGUGACAUCCACUCACACUCAGACUGAGAGAUAAAAUAAACAGCUGUCAGAGACGGGGGAGGGGGAGGUCGUCAUUUUGCCACGAUGGCACACAAACACUCAGACGUACAUGAAGACAAUAACAGCAGCUGAUAUUUAUGCCUUCACAUGAUGACUGAUGAUGGCUCCAUUUUGUUUUUAACUGAUGCUCCAACUUUUCUCCAAAAAAAAGUAAUAUUUUCAGUUUCCACUCGUUCCUCUUGAAUUUUUUAUGAGCAAAUUGACAAUGCCUAAAAAAUAAAAUUGCUGGUAAACAGCACACUUAAAGUCACUUGUUAUUAUCCUCUGCUUUCUAAACAUCCUGAAUCUAAAUGAAGUGAAAUAUUUAAACAGAGAACACCGUGUUUUUCCUUUUUGUCUCCUCUUUUUAAACGUCGGCACCAAAUGGAAAAUUCUUUCAGAGCCGUCCAUCACGUCUGCAGAUUUCUCUGACAUCCUGACAAAAAGUGAAACAUAAUUAAAGUGCGUUUGUGGAGUCUCCGGGCGACAGGUCGGCGGGGUUCAGGUUAAUGAGGUUAAUAUUCACUGAGAGUACAGUUUGUUUUCGUG
This is a long non-coding RNA of Oreochromis aureus, 1168 nucleotides long. The record is from Ensembl. NCBI's taxonomy places the organism in Eukaryota, Metazoa, Chordata, Actinopteri, Cichliformes, Cichlidae.